GAUGAACGCUGGCGGCGUGCUUAACACAUGCAAGUCGAACGGAGUUUACUUAACAGAUUUCUUCGGAAUGAUGUUUUUUAAACUUAGUGGCGGACGGGUGAGUAACGCGUGGGUAACCUGCCUUACACAGGGGGAUAGCAGUUGGAAACGACUGGUAAUACCGCAUACCCUACAUUAUUCGCAUGUUUGAUGUAAGAAAGAUUUUAUCGGUGUAAGAUGGACCCGCGUCUGAUUAGCUAGUUGGUGUGGUAACGGCAUACCAAGGCGACGAUCAGUAGCCGGCCUGAGAGGGUGAACGGCCACAUUGGGACUGAGAUACGGCCCAGACUCCUACGGGAGGCAGCAGUGGGGAAUAUUGCACAAUGGAGGCAACUCUGAUGCAGCGACGCCGCGUGAGUGAAGAAGUAUUUCGGUAUGUAAAGCUCUAUCAGUAGGGAAGAUAAUGACGGUACCUACAGAAGAAGCCUCGGCUAAAUACGUGCCAGCCGCCGCCGUAA
RNAcentral lists this ribosomal RNA (497 nucleotides) under uncultured bacterium. RNAcentral's name for it is "partial 16S ribosomal RNA". It matches the Rfam family "Bacterial small subunit ribosomal RNA", at positions 28 to 523 of the family's 1533-position model. The record is from RNAcentral.